This 253-nucleotide ribosomal RNA is filed under the name uncultured bacterium. Its description in RNAcentral is "partial 16S ribosomal RNA". It matches the Rfam family "Bacterial small subunit ribosomal RNA", at positions 524 to 776 of the family's 1533-position model. The record is from RNAcentral.
UACAGAGGUCCCAAGCGUUGUUCGGAUUCACUGGGCGUAAAGGGUGCGUAGGCGGGUCUUUAAGUCAGGGGUGAAAUCCUGGAGCUCAACUCCAGAACUGCCUUUGAUACUGAGGAUCUUGAGUCCGGGAGAGGUGAGUGGAACUGCGAGUGUAGAGGUGAAAUUCGUAGAUAUUCGCAAGAACACCAGUGGCGAAGGCGGCUCACUGGCCCGGUACUGACGCUGAGGCACGAAAGCGUGGGGAGCAAACAGG